GCCUUGGAAACAAGAGAACCUAAGCAAGGGCUGGACUCCCGCUGCAGACAGGGAGCAGAGCCCCCCGCACCUUGAAAUACGGAGGAAAACCUGAAAACGCUGAGAGGUGGAGUGACAACUUGCGUUCAGCUGUUUCAGUGACAUUGUUGACCACCUACUCAGUGUGAAGAUGAUGAAGAUGAAGGCCUUUAUGAUGACCUACUUCCACUUAAUAAAUGGGCGGCAAGUUUCACUGGUCCCAGGCGGGUCUGGAGAGGACAUCCAGGAGCCAGGGCCUGGAGUCAGAAACCUCAGGAAUCUACCUGGUGCUCUAUUUACCAGAGAUGACCUGCCACUCGAGCCACAAAACAAAGCCCUUUCUACUCUUCUCUGUCCUUUCCAUAAGCAGAGGAGUCUCUUCCCCAGGCCCCAGACCCAUGAUCACAUCAUGUGAAGGCUCAAUUCUGCAGCAGCAUGUAUCAGUUUGCUUCUAUUGCUAAAUUGUGUUCCAUUCUGUAAAUAUACUACAUUGUUUUGAUCCAUUCACCAGUUGACAGACUUUUGAGUUAUUUCUGUUUUUUGACUGUGACAACUCAGGCUAGUAUAAACAUUUGUAUACAAGUCUUUUUCUACACCUGUGCUUUCAUUUCUUUUCAGUACAUUCCCAGGAGCUCUCCUUUUCCAUUUUAUAGGAAAGAUCUACCCUUGAAAGACCCCAAUGCUACUUGUUGGAAGAGGGUAGAGAGUUCUAAUUCCAACUCACCAGUAAGUACUGAGUGAUUAGCUCACAUGCUGAAGUAGAAAAAAAGGCUUAUCAGUUCUUAUCUCUGCCCUUUCCCGCCUAAAUCUCCUUGUGACUUUGGGAGAUAACUGUACCUAGCAUCUAGGCAUCUUUGCUUGUGAACUAAAGGCGGAAACAAGAUGUUCUCUGAACUGUCUUUUACCUUAAAAAACA
Molecule: long non-coding RNA, 934 nt
Organism: Callithrix jacchus (white-tufted-ear marmoset)
Lineage: Eukaryota; Metazoa; Chordata; Mammalia; Primates; Cebidae
Source: RefSeq, a predicted model, not a curated record